This 255-nucleotide ribosomal RNA is filed under the name uncultured bacterium. Its description in RNAcentral is "partial 16S ribosomal RNA". It matches the Rfam family "Bacterial small subunit ribosomal RNA", at positions 524 to 776 of the family's 1533-position model. The record is from RNAcentral.
UACAGAGGGUGCGAGCGUUGUUCGGAAUUACUGGGCGUAAAGCGCGCGCAGGCGGCCUUUUAAGUCUGGCGGUGAAAUGCCGGGGCUCAACCCCGUUGCAUGCCGCGGAUACUGGGAGGCUGGAGACGAGUAGAGGCAAGCGGAAUUCCGGGUGUAGCGGUGGAAUGCGUAGAGAUCCGGAGGAACACCGGUGGCGAAGGCGGCAUCCUGGACCGGCAUUGACGCUGAGGCGCGAAAGCCAGGGGAGCAAACGGG